Molecule: non-coding RNA, 147 nt
Filed under: Paracoccus yeei
Lineage: Bacteria; Pseudomonadati; Pseudomonadota; Alphaproteobacteria; Rhodobacterales; Paracoccaceae
Description: Ruegeria cis2 sRNA
Rfam family: Ruegeria cis2 sRNA
About the family: Cis-encoded. Targets ABC transporter.
Source: Rfam by way of RNAcentral
AUUGCGCGGCGAAUAAUUGAUGAAGGCGAAGCCCCGCGUCUGGUCGAUGAUGUGGAACAGCGGGUUCCAGGCAAAGGCGUGCAGCAUGUAAAGCGGCAGGGUGUUGGCGACGAACAUCUUGCCCGAAAAGAUCAUGUUCAUGCGCUG